UAAGCGAGAACUCUGGUUCCUUGCUUUCCCCCAAUUUUUUUCUUUGCUCUAGUGAACGUCUGCCAUUGGUCCGGGCCGGCACCGUCUGCGCUACCUACAGCGGCAGUACCUCAGGUUUCCUGGUCUAACCAACCUUCUGCGGUUCAACUCUGCCAUCAAAGUCGGGGAGCUCUGGCUCCACCCAUUGCCCUGAAGUACUCUGGGAACCCAGCUCAGCUAAUUAGAAAACGAACUGCCCUCACCCAGAGUGAUUGGUUUAGGCGCAGGCACGUGACUGGAUCCCAGCCAAUGAGAGACAAGUUUUCAUUGAGCGCAGCCCAGGCGCUUUUGCGCACUGUCCAUCAUCCUGUCUGGUGGGGGCAGAGCCAACCUUGGGCCACCAGGACGCGCUGGAGAUAAGAAGGCCCCAGGAGAUGCCCCGGCCCUGGAGACAUGGUGGUUCCAGCUUGUCAUGAGCAAAACUCCAUACAAGACAGGUGCAGUCAAGGACACGGGACUCCUUAUUCCCAGAGCUACAAGUCUAGAGCUAAGUCUUUCUAGAAAGAGCAGAAUACUGGCAUUUCUCAUCUUCACCAGCUUCAUGCUGCAGAGGUCAAAUUCCAGGGAGCAGACAACUUCCAAAACUAUCCUUGUUUGUGGAGAAGUAUUCUUUACCAUUGAAGAGACAAAGAUGGUGCUGAGCCUGAUGAAGAAAUGGAGUUCAAGAUGUUCAUAGGACCACUGUGCUGGUUAAGUGGUGGAUGUGAUUCUCUUUGGGCAGUACAGGCCACAUGACUUGAUGACACCCAGAAAUAAGUGAAGAAGCAAAUCACAUCCAUGUCAUUGGGUUCCUGUGAAGACGAAAAGUGACGGUAGGUGGUGACAUAUUUUGUACAGCUUGAACCUGAACUGCUAACCACUAUCCUGUAUCCACUGAGCAAAAGAAAAAGAAAACAUAGAGGAGGGAGAGGCAGAUAAGGACUGGGAGAGGGUGAGGAUAGGGUCAUCUCCUGCAGCUCCAGGGAAGCCAGCUAAACCCAGCCCUCAUUCUCCUAGCAGGGGCUUCCCUCCCCCGCCCAGAGCCACACCACCACCGAAAGGCCAGAGACUCUGUUUGCUAGUUACUCACUUGACCCAGAGA
Non-coding RNA from Ictidomys tridecemlineatus (thirteen-lined ground squirrel), 1120 nucleotides. The record is from RefSeq and is a predicted model, not a curated record. NCBI's taxonomy places the organism in Eukaryota, Metazoa, Chordata, Mammalia, Rodentia, Sciuridae.